GUCAGAGGCUUAACCGACUGAGCCACCCUGGUCCCCCAAGGGUGAAGAAUUUAGAGAAAAAACUUUGGGUGAGUAAAUUAACAAGCUGUUUCCACUGACACAACUUCUGCUCUUUGGUGUUCUGGGUCUUGGAAAAUAAACUGAUUUUUCUGCUAACUGUGCUGGGUUUUAAAUGGGCAUCCGUCAAUGCGUAUUUUAUUUUCUUACCUGAAUCUUUGUCUGUUUCAGUCCUUUAAAAACAGCUAAGCAGCACCGGACAGCAACAGAACUUUACAAGGAGCUGCUUAUGUUGGGUGAAUGGAAAAGGGGCGAAGAAGCGGCCAGGCAGCAUGGGGCAUGACUUGGCAUGGGUUGUGUGCCGUGGGGGAGGUGUAGACUGUGUCCCCAGGACAUUCACCAGAACCACUCGCCUCUCCUCUCGCGCCACUAACUGGGUCCAAGCAUCUAAGCUUCAGUAGGACAUUUCUUUUAUAUAGGCGGAGAAAAACACUGGGUUCUCUGGCGACCAUGCUAGGUUUUUCGAUUCCUGAAUGUUUGACUGUCCGUGUCAUUUGGAUUUGAAUGUUUCUCUCUUCCUGGAACAGAGUGGACUCUGCGUGGAUGAAGUUUGCAGGUUUGAGUUGUGACAGGUUUGACUUAUUAGUGACCUUCCCUGCCUGUCUUCCCUAAAUGUUUCUUUUUUUCCAAAGAGUCAUACAGACUGAAACAAUACUUGGAUUUUCACGUGGGCAGAUUUAAUUUCCCAGAGAUAGCUGCACCAAAUCCCAUCCUACACGCACUUCUUACGGUGUCAUGAACACUCCUCCGUGGAGAGGUGAGGCUGAUGCCCCCCUCCCCUGCCAUGAGUCUGGGUGAGGGCUUGCGUUUGCUCUGACCUGCGUGGCAUGCUGGAAGUGAGUCUUUGUGACCUCCAGGGCUGGGUCACGAAAGGAUUUGGCGCCUACACGUGUCUCUGUCUCUUGGGAUCUGGCCCUGAGAAUCCAGGCACCAGACUGGAAGGAACCCAAAACCAGCCCACAUACAGAGAGCACAGGGAGGGGCCCACAUGGAGAGGAACCGGAGUCCUUCAGCCAGCGACCAGCGUCGGCUGCCAGAUGUGCGAGUGAAUGGCCCUUCAGACGGGUCCAGCCUCAGACAGUGUGGAAUGGAGAGUGUCGUCUCUGUCGUGCCCUGUCCGAUCUCCUGACCCAUCGAGCUCGGUUGGCUUUUCGUGUUGUGUAUUUCCAUGGGUUUCGACAGAUGUAGACAAUGACGUGUAUCCACCAUUAUAGCCGGCAUAAGUCUUUGCCCUUCCUGGAAUGUCAUAUAUUUGGAAUCCUACAGUCUGUAGCCUUGCAGAUUCUUUCGCUUAGUCGUACUCAUUGAAGGUUCAUCCAUACCGUUUCCAGGCUUGAUAGUGCAAGUUUAGUUCUGAAAAGUAUCCCCCUGUCUGGAUACACAACAGCUUAGCCUUCCGCUCAUCUGGUGAAGGACAUUUUGGCUGCUUCCAACACUGGGCAAGUAUGAACAAAGGUGCUAUAAACAUUUAUGUGCACGUUGUGCUUUGUUUUGCCUUUUAGCCCUGCUCCCCUCCUAUGUGCGGGUUUUUAUACGGACAUAAGGCUUUUAACUCCUUUGGGAUACUUUUAACAAGUAAAGAUGCUUUUUAAUGUAAUUUUACAUUUUGAAUCGGUAAUGUAUCCGUGUGGUA
Molecule: long non-coding RNA, 1690 nt
Organism: Lynx canadensis (Canada lynx)
Lineage: Eukaryota; Metazoa; Chordata; Mammalia; Carnivora; Felidae
Exons: 3
Source: RefSeq, a predicted model, not a curated record